RNAcentral lists this ribosomal RNA (497 nucleotides) under uncultured bacterium. RNAcentral describes it as "partial 16S ribosomal RNA". It matches the Rfam family "Bacterial small subunit ribosomal RNA", at positions 28 to 507 of the family's 1533-position model. The record is from RNAcentral.
GACGAACGCUGGCGGCGUGCCUAAUACAUGCAAGUUGAGCGCUGAAGGUUGGUACUUGUACCAACUGGAUGAGCAGCGAACGGGUGAGUAACGCGUGGGGAAUCUGCCUUUGAGCGGGGGACAACAUUUGGAAACGAAUGCUAAUACCGCAUAAAAACUUUAAACACAAGUUUUAAGUUUGAAAGAUGCAAUUGCAUCACUCAAAGAUGAUCCCGCGUUGUAUUAGCUAGUUGGUGAGGUAAAGGCUCACCAAGGCGAUGAUACAUAGCCGACCUGAGAGGGUGAGCGGCCACAUUGGGACUGAGACACGGCCCAAACUCCUACGGGAGGCAGCAGUAGGGAAUCUUCGGCAAGAGACGAAAGUCUGACCGAGCAACGCCGCGGGAGUGAAGAAGGUUUUCGGAUCGUAAAACUCUGUUGGUAGAGAAGAACGUUGGUGAGAGUGGAAAGCUCAUCAAGUGACGGUAACUACCCAGAAAGGGACGGCUAACUACGUG